UGGAGGACUGAGAAGGUGAGGCAGCUCAGUACCGUGCUUCCUUCCACUGGUUAAGACCUCCAAGAGCAAAGGCAGCCAAAACAGAGCGUGUCCCUCUGCUGUCCUCAGAAGGGCAGCCCUGUGCUGGCCAACAUCUG
Molecule: small nucleolar RNA, 137 nt
Organism: Suncus etruscus (white-toothed pygmy shrew)
Lineage: Eukaryota; Metazoa; Chordata; Mammalia; Eulipotyphla; Soricidae
Product: small nucleolar RNA SNORA47
Exons: 1
Source: RefSeq, a predicted model, not a curated record